GGACGGGUGCCCGAGUGGCUAAAGGGGGCGGUCUGUAAAACCGUUGGCUAACGCCUACGUUGGUUCAAAUCCAACCCCGUCCACCA
This 86-nucleotide transfer RNA is filed under the name Thermaerobacter sp. Its description in RNAcentral is "tRNA-Tyr". It matches the Rfam family "tRNA". Rfam says of the family: Transfer RNA (tRNA) molecules are approximately 80 nucleotides in length. Their secondary structure includes four short double-helical elements and three loops (D, anti-codon, and T loops). The record is from RNAcentral. Lineage: Bacteria; Bacillati; Bacillota; Clostridia; Eubacteriales; Clostridiales Family XVII. Incertae Sedis.